AGCACGGGUACUUGUACCUGGUGGCGAGCGGCGGACGGGUGAGUAAUACCUAGGAAUCUGCCUGGUAGUGGGGGAUAACGUUCGGAAACGGACGCUAAUACCGCAUACGUCCUACGGGAGAAAGCAGGGGACCUUCGGGCCUUGCGCUAUCAGAUGAGCCUAGGUCGGAUUAGCUAG
RNAcentral lists this ribosomal RNA (177 nucleotides) under uncultured Pseudomonas sp. RNAcentral describes it as "partial 16S ribosomal RNA". It matches the Rfam family "Bacterial small subunit ribosomal RNA", at positions 68 to 248 of the family's 1533-position model. The record is from RNAcentral. Lineage: Bacteria; Pseudomonadati; Pseudomonadota; Gammaproteobacteria; Pseudomonadales; Pseudomonadaceae.